Molecule: unclassified non-coding RNA, 444 nt
Filed under: Hevea brasiliensis (rubber tree)
Lineage: Eukaryota; Viridiplantae; Streptophyta; Magnoliopsida; Malpighiales; Euphorbiaceae
Source: RNAcentral
GAAUUUUUUUGGGCCAAAUACAUAUUUUUCACUCUUAAACUUUGUGUUUUAACUUAUCAUAUCCCUAAAUUUUUCGAAAAACCUAUCACACCCCUGAACUUGCAAAUUUUAUAACAAUUAAGCAAAAUUUUGGUGCUUAUGCUUAUAUGCAUGAUAAAGCAGGUGAUUAAUAGCUCCAAAUUGUCUUGUUUCUUUACUUUUUAAUUUUUUGUUCAUUUUCUUACUAACUUAGCAGAGAGUAGAAUUGAAGAAAACUUCUCCAGCAGCUUUAUUCUACAUCAUGAACCUGGCUCUACAUCUUCUCCAUCUUUUUCCUGUUUCUUUUUCUCAGUAGCUUGGGGGGGUUUAGUAAUAAGAUUUUAUUUGAGUAGUAAAAAAUUGAGUUUUUUUGUUUACUGGGUGCUUUCAUUAUGGGAUUUAGGGGUGCAGAUUGGCAUGGGAGGU